This 628-nucleotide ribosomal RNA is filed under the name uncultured bacterium. RNAcentral describes it as "bacterial SSU rRNA". It matches the Rfam family "Bacterial small subunit ribosomal RNA", at positions 76 to 719 of the family's 1533-position model. The record is from RNAcentral.
GGGCUUGCCCUUGCAAGAUAGUGGCGGACGGGUGAGUAACACGUGGAUAACCUGCCUUAUACAAAGGAAUAACACUGAGAAAUCAGUGCUAAAGCCUUAUAAGCUCCCGGCGCGGCAUCGGCAGAGAGAAAAUAUUUAUAGGUAUAAGAGGGGUCCGCGUCUGAUUAGCUAGUUGGAGGGGUAACGGCCCACCAAGGCGACGAUCAGUAGCCGGCCUGAGAGGGUGAACGGCCACAUUGGGACUGAGACACGGCCCAAACUCCUACGGGAGGCAGCAGUGGGGAAUAUUGCGCAAUGGGGGAAACCCUGACGCAGCAACGCCGCGUGAAGGAUGAAGGUUUUCGGAUUGUAAACUUCUAUCGAUGGGGAAGAAAAAAAUGACUGUACCCAAGUAAGAAGCACCGGCUAAAUACGUGCCAGCAGCCGCGGUAAUACGUAUGGUGCAAGCGUUAUCCGGAAUUACUGGGCGUAAAGGGUGAGUAGGCGGUCGAAUAAGUCAUAUGUGAAAAUCCAGGGCUCAACCCUGGACUUGCAUAAGAAACUGUUUGGCUAGAGUGCAGGAGAGGUAAGCGGAAUUCCUAGUGUAGCGGUGAAAUGCGUAGAUAUUAGGAAGAACACCAGUGGCGAA